UUUCCGUAGGUGAACCUGCGGAAGGAUCACUAUUGUAUAACCUAAGGGCCAGAUCUCUCUCUCACCCCACAGUGCGUGCACCCCCGAGUGCCUUCACACACAUCCUUCUCACCCCUAUGUUCAACACCACAUGGAUCCCCCUUUUUCAUGUUCGGAUCUGUUCGUACUUUUACACACAAACUUUGCAUGCAAUGGAGAGUGUAUUUUUUGUUUUUGCGGUCACCCAAGCAAUACAACUUUCAACAACUGAUCUUUUGGCUCUCCCAUCGAUUAAGAACC
RNAcentral lists this unclassified non-coding RNA (279 nucleotides) under plant metagenome. RNAcentral describes it as "partial contains small subunit ribosomal RNA, internal transcribed spacer 1, and 5.8S ribosomal RNA". The record is from RNAcentral.